Notothenia coriiceps (black rockcod) is the source of this 102-nucleotide long non-coding RNA. RefSeq lists it as uncharacterized. The record is from RefSeq and is a predicted model, not a curated record. NCBI's taxonomy places the organism in Eukaryota, Metazoa, Chordata, Actinopteri, Perciformes, Nototheniidae. The transcript has 3 exons.
GGAUGACUGCCCAGGAGAGAGCGCAGAGAAGCGUGUAAGACUGCGACUCCAACUCCUGGUCUCAACUCCAGUUUGUCAUGGAUUAAGAAGUAUUAUUUUAAC